This is a long non-coding RNA of Pseudophryne corroboree (corroboree frog), 676 nucleotides long. RefSeq lists it as uncharacterized. The transcript is spliced from 3 exons. The record is from RefSeq and is a predicted model, not a curated record. NCBI's taxonomy places the organism in Eukaryota, Metazoa, Chordata, Amphibia, Anura, Myobatrachidae.
GCCCCCCUCCUCUCUCCUCCUUGCUCCUGGCCGCUGCCCAUGUCAGGUGGAAGACAGAAGCACAGUGGUGCCUCUCCCCAACUCGUCUCUUCCCUCCCCUCUGUCACUGAAUACACAGCAACACAGCAAUCUUAAGCGUCAGAUAGGGGACACAGGAAGUCACAUGAUAUACACACGUGACUGUGCACUGUCUGACUCUGGACUCUGGAGGAGCAAGCUGUCGUGUGAAGAGGAACAGCCAGCCAGUGUAGCAGCCUGCAGCCCUAGUAGCCAGCCACAGAGGAGCUGACUGAGGUUGCUGUAUUGUAUGAUUUGGACCUUAUAUCUUUCUUUUGUCGAAGAAGGACUGUUUUUGGUUCCUUAUUGAAGCCAAGUUUCCUUUUUUUUCUGAGCAGAGCAAGCACAAUGGCAAGCAGCGGGUCGAAGGCCGCCAAUUUCUAGGCCAGACCAAUCCCCUUCUCCGCCCCCUCCCCUUCUGUGGCCCAAUCCCCCUCUCCGCCCCCUCCCCAUCUCUUUCCCAAUCCCCUUCUCCGCCCCACUCCCCCUCUCUUUCACAAUCCCCUUCUCCGCCCCCCUCCCCCUCUGUGGCCCAAUCCCCCUCUCCGCCCCCCUCCCCCUCUCUUUCCCAAUCCCCUUCUCCGCCCCACUCCCCCUCUCUUUCCCAAACCCCCUCUCU